GUUGGGGUGGCAGAGUCCGGAUAAUGCAAAAGACUUAAAUUCUUUCUACAGAGGUUCAAGUCCUCUCCUCAACU
Molecule: transfer RNA, 74 nt
Filed under: Parupeneus barberinoides (bicolor goatfish)
Lineage: Eukaryota; Metazoa; Chordata; Actinopteri; Syngnathiformes; Mullidae
Description: tRNA-Leu
Rfam family: tRNA
About the family: Transfer RNA (tRNA) molecules are approximately 80 nucleotides in length. Their secondary structure includes four short double-helical elements and three loops (D, anti-codon, and T loops).
Source: RNAcentral